Molecule: ribosomal RNA, 253 nt
Filed under: uncultured bacterium
Lineage: Bacteria
Description: partial 16S ribosomal RNA
Rfam family: Bacterial small subunit ribosomal RNA
Source: RNAcentral
UACGUAGGGUGCAGGCGUUAAUCGGAAUUACUGGGCGUAAAGCGUGCGCAGGCGGCCUCUUAAGUCAGAUGUGAAAUCCCCGGGCUUAACCUGGGAACUGCGUUUGAAACUGGGAGGCUUGAGUGUGGAAGAGGGGGGUGGAAUUCCAGGUGUAGCAGUGAAAUGCGUAGAGAUCUGGAGGAACACCGAUGGCGAAGGCAGCCCCCUGGGCUAACACUGACGCUCAUGCACGAAAGCGUGGGGAGCAAACAGG